This 350-nucleotide unclassified non-coding RNA is filed under the name Boswellia serrata. RNAcentral describes it as "partial external transcribed spacer". Lineage: Eukaryota; Viridiplantae; Streptophyta; Magnoliopsida; Sapindales; Burseraceae. The record is from RNAcentral.
GAGACAAGCAUAUGACUACUGGCAGGAUCAACCAGGUAGCAUUCCUUCACGACGCCGACGCCCGCAUGAGCGCCCCGAGCCGUGAGGCCGAGGGCUCAAAGACGAGCGUGGCGGUCGUUCGUGUCGUUGGACAAAAUGCGUUGCUUGGGCAAAAGGAGGCCGAGAGACCACCCACCCGCGCAUAACAUUCUGCAUCCGAGAGCACGGGCAAAGCACCUUGUGGGCCGAGGCAACCACGCAACUGGGCGAGGCGUGCCAGGAACACGAGGCUUGCCUAACGUCCGCCCCAACACCUGCAAGGGCAUGGGGCGGAGAGGAACAAACGAACCACCGAAUUCCUUCGGGUAGGU